Molecule: long non-coding RNA, 474 nt
Organism: Gossypium raimondii (Peruvian cotton)
Lineage: Eukaryota; Viridiplantae; Streptophyta; Magnoliopsida; Malvales; Malvaceae
Exons: 2
Source: RefSeq, a predicted model, not a curated record
UGCACGCACCCAAUCUCCCAUUCUCAUCUCCUUUUGAGCUUGACCAGCAGUCCAAUCUGACGCUUUAUUAGCUUCUCUCUUGACUUUUUCUAAACAAAAUCUCUUCCAGCUUUCUACCAUGAUCCUCGAUAGAUUGAACAAAAGGCAGCAAUUUCCAAUUUGUACUCCCACCAGCCCCUUUAGCCCGAAUUUGGGUGGGGAUUAAGUAUGGUAAACCCACCGCCCAUCCAAACUCACCCUUAAUCUCUUUACACAUUAUAUCAGAGUCAGUUUCUGCAAUAACUUUGUUCAUCUGCUACUUAACUGCCCACUUUACCCCCCCCCGGGUCCAUAACUGCAAUUGCUUCAGCUUCCUCAGCCGAAUCAACAUCAAUCUUCUUGGCCAAGCCUGCAAUCAAUUCUGCUCUAUCAUUUCUCUAGAGAAAGCACCAUCAUUAUUCAUUAUUAAAUGUUACUAUAUUCUUCUUUUUGGUA